UGCAAGUCGAGCGGUAACAGGAAAUAGCUUGCUAUUUCGCUGACGAGCGGCGGACGGGUGAGUAAUGCCUAGGAACAUGCCCUAACGUGGGGGAUAACCAUUGGAAACGAUGGCUAAUACCGCAUAAUGUCUUCGGACCAAAGAGGGGGACCUUCGGGCCUCUUGCGUUAGGAUUGGCCUAGGUGGGAUUAGCUAGUUGGUGAGGUAAUGGCUCACCAAGGCAAUGAUCUCUAGCUGGUCUGAGAGGAUGAUCAGCCACACUGGAACUGAGACACGGUCCAGACUCCUACGGGAGGCAGCAGUGGGGAAUAUUGCACAAUGGGCGAAAGCCUGAUGCAGCCAUGCCGCGUGUGUGAAGAAGGCCUUCGGGUUGUAAAGCACUUUCAGUCGUGAGGAAGGGGGUAUGUUUAAUACGCAUGCUCUUGACGUUAGCGACAGAAGAAGCACCGGCUAACUCCGUGCCAGCAGCCGCGGUAAUACGGAGGGUGCGAGCGUUAAUCGGAAUUACUGGGCGUAAAGCGCAUGCAGGUGGUUAGUUAAGUCAGAUGUGAAAGCCCAAGGCUCAACCUUGGAAUUGCAUUUGAAACUGGCUGGCUAGAGUACUGUAGAGGGGGGUAGAAUUUCAGGUGUAGCGGUGAAAUGCGUAGAGAUCUGA
Molecule: ribosomal RNA, 655 nt
Filed under: uncultured Vibrionaceae bacterium
Lineage: Bacteria; Pseudomonadati; Pseudomonadota; Gammaproteobacteria; Vibrionales; Vibrionaceae
Description: bacterial SSU rRNA
Rfam family: Bacterial small subunit ribosomal RNA
Source: RNAcentral